UCCCUGAUGGCUCAGUGGUAAAGAGUCUGUCUGCAAUGCAGGAGACCCUGGUUCCAUCCCUGGACUGGGAA
Molecule: transfer RNA, 71 nt
Filed under: Ovis aries (sheep)
Lineage: Eukaryota; Metazoa; Chordata; Mammalia; Artiodactyla; Bovidae
Rfam family: tRNA
About the family: Transfer RNA (tRNA) molecules are approximately 80 nucleotides in length.
Source: Rfam by way of RNAcentral